This 440-nucleotide ribosomal RNA is filed under the name uncultured bacterium. RNAcentral describes it as "partial 16S ribosomal RNA". It matches the Rfam family "Bacterial small subunit ribosomal RNA", at positions 338 to 795 of the family's 1533-position model. The record is from RNAcentral.
CCUACGGGUGGCAGCAGUGGGGGAUAUUGCACAAUGAGGGAAACCCUGAUGCAGCGACGCCGCGUGUGGGCAGACGGUCCUCUGGAUUGUAAACCACUGUCCCCAGGGCGGAAGAUGACGGUACCUGGGGAGGAAGCCCCGGCUAACUACGUGCCAGCAGCCGCGGUAAUACGUAGGGAGCAAGCGUUGUCCGGAAUUACUGGGUGGAAAGGGAGCGUAGGCGGGAUGGCAAGUGGGGUGUUAAAUCUACCGGCUCAACUGGGAGUCGGCUUGAGAACUGGUAUUCGUGAGUGACGUAGAGGCAGGAGGAAGUCCUAGUGUAGCGGUGAAAUGCGUAGAUAUUAGGGGGAACACCAGUGGCGAAGGCGGCCUGCUGGGCUUUUACUGACGCGGAGGCUCGAAAGUGUGGGGAGCAAACAGGAUUAGAUACCCGGGUAGUC